UACGAAGGGUGCUAGCGUUGUUCGGAAUUACUGGGCGUAAAGCGCGCGUAGGCGGCGAUACAAGUCAGGGGUGAAAUCCCGGAGCUCAACUCCGGAAUUGCCUUUGAAACUGUAUUGCUUGAGUGUCGGAGGGGAUAGCGGAAUUCCUAAUGUAGAGGUGAAAUUCGUAGAUAUUAGGAGGAACACCGGUGGCGAAGGCGGCUAUCUGGACGACUACUGACGCUGAGGCGCGAAAGCGUGGGGAUCAAACAGG
RNAcentral lists this ribosomal RNA (253 nucleotides) under uncultured bacterium. RNAcentral's name for it is "partial 16S ribosomal RNA". It matches the Rfam family "Bacterial small subunit ribosomal RNA", at positions 524 to 776 of the family's 1533-position model. The record is from RNAcentral.